UACGUAGGGUGCGAGCGUUGUCCGGAAUUAUUGGGCGUAAAGGGCGCGCAGGCGGCUCUGAAAGUCAGAUGUGAAAGCCCCGGGCUUAACCUGGGAACUGCAUUUGAUACUCUAGAGCUUGAGUACGGGAGAGGAGAGUGGAAUUCCCAGUGUAGAGGUGAAAUUCGUAGAUAUUGGGAAGAACACCGGUGGCGAAGGCGGCUCUCUGGACCGUAACUGACGCUGAGGCGCGAAAGCGUGGGGAGCAAACAGG
Molecule: ribosomal RNA, 253 nt
Filed under: uncultured bacterium
Lineage: Bacteria
Description: partial 16S ribosomal RNA
Rfam family: Bacterial small subunit ribosomal RNA
Source: RNAcentral